Molecule: non-coding RNA, 2905 nt
Organism: Oryzias latipes (Japanese medaka)
Lineage: Eukaryota; Metazoa; Chordata; Actinopteri; Beloniformes; Adrianichthyidae
Source: RefSeq, a predicted model, not a curated record
AAUCGUUGUGAAAAAGACCGCAAACAAAACAGUCGCUUGAUGAUGACAUAGGCGAGCCGCUAUGUCUUGGAGCUGACAAAAGUUUUCUUCCCCGUAUGCAGCCUGCCUUGCCCCUGAGUAGCUAAACACAUCAAGAGCAGCUGCUGCCCAGAAAACGGAGGGACCAGCAUUCACAUCUGAGCACAUUAGUCACCAGAUGUCACCUUUUGCUGCCAGCCCAUCGAACAUCCAAGCAGACAAUGCUCCGUGCAUUCUGAACAUCUGACUUACGCCGGUUUCUACAAGGGGGCUGGGUGAAGACGGGGAUUUCUAUAAGUUUUCCAUAGAGUGGCAGAAAUUGACCUCUGAGUUAUGGGCGGGACCAUUGGCGCAGAGUAAGUCCGUCCUCUUCCCAUCAUCCAUCUGUUUGCGUGCUCUCCUGCCUGCUUACAGCCCCUCACACCCCCCAUCAAACAUCACCAGUGCAAGAAAAGUGGCGAGCAAUAUUGGAGCUAGCCAGCCGUACAGUUUUGAUCCAGAUGCCAGGUCUGACGAAGCUCUAAAAAUGAGCACGUACAUGGAUCUAGUGGUCUACAAGAUGCAUCAGAAUGGAGUGCACCAGGGACCUCGUGGACUGCCGAUUGUGAUUUGUACAGUUUUGGGACUGCUCCUGAUGCACAGCGAUUUGAAUGAAGAAACAAUCAGAAAUGCUGUUUUUAAGUUAAUGUCCUCCUCCAUUGUGAGACAAAAAAACACACCAAAAACACGAUUUUCAUAGGAGUGGGUCUUUAAAGGUGUAAAAGUUUACUGUCAGAAAGUAAACAAUUAGUUUUAUCUCAAACGGUUGAGAACCAACAUUAGUUCCAAGCUGGUUGAUUUGAUCAAACAAAGAGAAUCUUAUUUAUGUAACAAUAUGUAACAUUUAAUGGAGAUGUUGCUGAUUAAAGCUAAAUGAAUAAAAUCCCUUCAUCUCAUGUAUGGUGUGUAAGGAAAUCAUAGAUUUAUAAAAACAAGAGUGGCUAAUAUAUCACAAACAGAAGAAGAUGUUUUUUUUCCUGUUUUUGCUCAUGACAAUUGUAUAUCAAUGGAUCAAUUUCUAGAAUCGUACACAAACAAACAGUUUUCCUUUCAUUGUUUAUCCUUGUUAAGGUUUAACAGCAGAAUACACUCCCUCCUCAUCUAUUCUGUCUGCCUCAUGCUCCUUCUCUCCAUAUAUUAAACGAUGGGUGGCACUUUCCCCUCACAGCGUUAUCUGCUACGUCGAGUCACCUCCAGACACAUUAGCAUAUUUAUCAUCAGCUCCACAGACUUCAAAGUCAGUGCUUGUUUCUUAGAGAGAUGGGGAAGCGCCACCAGGAAGCCGGCACAGGCUGCAAAGCGCUAGGUGUUCCCAGGGGAUCAAAUAUCCAUUUAGGUAAGAUGGAAGCAGGGGGGAGGCUAUAAGCAGAAUUCAAUUCAUUUAUUUGCAGAAGUGAUGAUGUCUUUAGCAGUGACUUUAAAUAUUUGCACAGCGCUAACUGCUGCCUUUACCACGGUUUUGUGAUAUUAAUACAUGGUUAAUGCAGGUGGGAGCAAUAAAUGUGUUUUAUUUCCCUUUUUUUAUGGAUGCUGUUGCAGGAGAAGUUUCUUUAUAAAUAAAACACUGUGAACCAUUUUCUUAAAAUGAAUAAACCUUGCUUCCUUGCAAUAUGAUGAAAGGUGCAAAUUACCGUUUAGAAAUUGAUUUUUUUCAUGUAUGUUUAAAAUUUAAAAUCAUGGAGGAAGCUCUUAUGGAAUAAGUAAGGUAAAUCUUUAAUAAAUCCCUCUGAAAUAUCAUUUUUUCAUUGUAAGGACAAGGGAAUGAGGUGGGUCAAGCCAUAUUUGUGGUCAAUCGAGGAAUUUUUGAUGGACAGCUGGCAUGUACCACUGUGUCUCCAGAAUAAAAGGCCCAGCCUUGCCAUCUGCUGGCUCCGUCCAGGUGAAGAAAAACUCAAAUUGGCAGAUGACCAAAUGUAGGAAAUGUUCCCAGAAUAAGGCGGGCCAAGAAGACAGCAGCAAGACAGAACAAGGCCACGCUCCUUCAUUCAACUCCGCUGCAGACGCAGUCGGAGCAUCUAGAGGGGAGGCUCUGUCAAGAAUCCUAAUUGCUCCAAUUUAACCACAUUGCAAGGACACAUGGUGUGGCACCGGUAAUCCCUCUCCAGAAGACAGAACCAUAGAUCUGGCGUGACGUGACUUGAAAAUGUCUGCAGGAAAACCCCAUCUGACAUGGCAUGGCAUGAUGUGGAUGAUGUGGCAAAAAAAAAUCCAGCCGCUGCACCAAAUUGCUCCUGCUAGAUCCAGAAGACCAGUCGUGAUGACAGAAACGUAAACAUUUAAUAAUUACAAAUUGGAUUUAUCUCUGAGUGCUUACAAUGUGUAUCCAUUAUUCAUUCACUCCUCAUUCAUACUGAUGGUGAUGGUACGUUACUGAUGUGGCGUGGGGCAUUCUGACAGAGGCGUGGCUGCCAGUAAGCACCCCUAUGACCAUCACUAGGAAAUUCAUUCGCGUAUGCAUGAUAGGAAACCUUGAGGACAUCCCAAAUGUUCUGAGUACUUCUCCAUUUUUGCAACAAAGGCUGUGAAGGUGAUUAAUGUGGUGACAACCGAGUGAUAAACGUCAAAGAUAAAGUUUCAGGCUGAAGCUUGAGUUCACUGAGGUUGGUGCGUCUGGACAGAAUGUUGCAUCAAGGACAUUUCAUCCUACCUCACACAAAUGUCUAGUGCAGGUCUAACAGAAGCUCUUGCAUUCAGGCAAAACUGUUACUGAAGCUGCUUGACUGACGCUUCUUUGCAUCAAUGUUUCCCAACAGAACAUUUGGAUUCACAAACACAGACAGGGCUUCAACUUUUAUAAAGAGGACAAAUAUGUGCCUGAAACAAUAAAGACUCUUUAAAACCGGUUAAA